This 377-nucleotide ribosomal RNA is filed under the name uncultured organism. Its description in RNAcentral is "partial 16S ribosomal RNA". It matches the Rfam family "Bacterial small subunit ribosomal RNA", at positions 527 to 896 of the family's 1533-position model. The record is from RNAcentral.
GAAGGUGGCGAGCGUUGUUCGGGUGUCACUGGGCUUAAAGCGUGUGUAGGCGGAACGGUAAGCGUCUUGUGAAAUCCCUCGGGCUCAACCGAGGAAUUGCUCGGCGAACUGUCGUUCUUGAGGCAGGCAGAGGUGCGUGGAACUCUUGGUGGAGCGGUGGAAUGCGUAGAUAUCAAGAGGAACGCCAGUGGUGAAGACGACGCACUGGGCCUGUCCUGACGCUGAGACACGAAAGCGUGGGUAGCGAACGGGAUUAGAUACCCCGGUACGUCCACGCCGUAAACGAUGUCUACUAGGUUGUGGAAGUUCUGACGCUGUCACAGCCGAAGCAAAAGUAGAUAAGUAGACCGCCUGGGGAGGUACGGCCGCAAAGGCUA